AUGCCAAUCACUCAUUCCUGGAUUGAUGCUGCAUCGUGCCAGGCCCCCACCCCAGUGCUGACCCAGCUGUGCAGGGAAAACCUGCCCUGGCUAUGGCAGGAGGGGAGAGAGGAGCCACAGGGAGCUGGAAAACCCCCAGGAGAGCAGAGGGGACUGCAGGCCCUGCUUUCAGCUCUGCCCAGGGCAGACCGGGGCAGGACUGGAGUCAUGCUGCAAGAUCCACCCCAACGAGUCCUUUACCUGCCUCUGGCACCAUCCCAGCAGCCUCCCACUCCUCAACAGCAUCAAACUGUAAGAGCAGAGAGAGGAGCAGCAGCAGCAGCAGCAGCAACAGCAGCAGCAGCAGCAGCAUCCCAGACAGGCUCCAGGUGCCAACACAGAACCUCCCAACAGCUCCAUCUGGGACACUUGGAACCAAACCCCCGUGGGGUUAGCUCUGUGCUGUCCCAGCCAUACGUGGAGGUCCUGAGCAGGGGCAGCAGAGCUGUCUGUCUGUCCCGGGAGGCAGCAGAGCUGGCUGUCUGUCCCUGCAGCAGCAGAGCUGUCUGUCUGUCCCUGCAGCAGCAGAGCUGUCUGUCCCUGCAGCAGCAGAGCUGUCUGUCAGUCCCUGCAGCAGCAGAGCUGGCUGUCUGUCCCGGGAGGCAGCAGAGCUGGCUGUCUGUCCCUGCAGCAGCAGAGCUGUCUGUCUGUCCCUGCAGCAGCAGAGCUGUCUGUCCCUGCAGCAGCAGAGCUGUCUGUCUGUCCCGGGAGGCAGCAGAGCUGGCCCUGGCAGCUGCAGCAUCAUCCUGCCAACCCCCCGUGCUCCAGCAGUGUCAGCGAUCAGCCACAGCCGCCCUGCUCCACAAGGGACCUGCCCCGGCACGUGGAGCUGCAGGGACGCUGCAGGAGCAGCUCAGCCCCAGCCGGGACUCCUGCAGGCACAGGAGGAACACGCUGGAGCCCUCAAGGUCACCACAACAUCCCUUGGCCAAGUCCUCUAUCCAAGGGAUGCCCGGGGAGCUUUAG
Molecule: long non-coding RNA, 1005 nt
Filed under: Cyanistes caeruleus (blue tit)
Lineage: Eukaryota; Metazoa; Chordata; Aves; Passeriformes; Paridae
Description: lncRNA (ENSCCEG00000015954.1)
Source: RNAcentral